This 980-nucleotide long non-coding RNA is filed under the name Phoenix dactylifera (date palm). RNAcentral describes it as "long non-coding RNA (PDAC_LNC000279)". The record is from RNAcentral. Lineage: Eukaryota; Viridiplantae; Streptophyta; Magnoliopsida; Arecales; Arecaceae.
GGAAUGACACUAGCUAGUUCCAUAUCCAUCUCUCUCUUGCUAAAAACUUCUUGAUCACCUAACAAGCUUCAACCGAUUCUCUUGCCAUGGCUACGAAGCUCAAGGUGCUGCCUCUUCUGUUCCUUCUCCUGGUGGGGGGUCUCGUCCUUGUGGCUCAAGCAAGACCUCUUAAGGUAUUGGAGCAAGACGGUGCGGCCGGGGGAGUCGAUGACUUGGUGAGAGACUUGCUUCUGGGAGCGACCAAGCAUGCAGGCCCCAGUAAUGGAGGCGCAGGGCAUGGGUUCGCAAAGUACUUCCCUGUCGGGGCGCUGAAAGACUCCGGGCCAAGCCCUGGAGCUGGGCAUUAGAAGAUGGUGUUGGUCGUCUUCCCUAGCUAGUUUAAUUACACAACUAUGUGAUUAGUGAUAAGUCCUGCAAGUUUCUUUAAGUCUUUUUGUUCCUUUCGAAAAGAAAGAGGGGGGAGGGCUUCAAGGUAGCUUCUUGGACUAGUUUAUUUUUAUUGAUUUAUUGUUUCUAAUAGCUGUUACGUGUAUACAUAACAUAAGAUUGGGGGGGGAUUCAAGGUAGCUUCUUUGGUUAGGUUAUUUUCAUUGAUUUAUUGUUUCUAAUAGUUGUUACGCGCGUGUAUGCAUAAUAUAAGAUUGGGUAUAUAGAAAGGAUGCCAUUAUUCGUUCGUUUAAUAUUAUGAGCAUAUCUAUCAAGUUAGUUCUUUAAUGGUGACUCAAAGUGCUUGGGAACGUAUGGCUACUGACAUGCUAGUUGAUGUGCCUUUCUAAAUAUUUGUGUGUGAGAGAGAGUCAUUUGGACACGUAUGUUGAACGUGGCUUGUCCAUGUCAUUUUAACUUAUUGCAGAACUUCUGCCAUGCUUAAUUUCUAUAGAAUGUUUUGACCAUACAUUACAUGGAUGUCUCUAAUAAUAUAUUACAUAUGUAUGUACAUAGGAAAGAAUGCACCAGGAAACAUGAACCAUAGCGAGGGG